UUAUCGGUGAUGAGGCCUUAACAUAUAAGGAUGGUCCGACUAUGUGUCGGAUCUUCGAUGCAAUACUCUUGUUAACGCUUGGCUUCUGAGAUAA
This is a non-coding RNA of Spinacia oleracea (spinach), 94 nucleotides long. Lineage: Eukaryota; Viridiplantae; Streptophyta; Magnoliopsida; Caryophyllales; Amaranthaceae. The record is from Rfam.